AACCAAAUUGAGAAUAUAUCUAGUGAUAGAACCUUAGGUGAUACCGUCAUACCAGCAUCAAAUGGUAGUGUGAAUGGUCAUGAAUAGUCCUGAAGAAAAUAUGCGACAUUGAUACCGAUUAAUCUAUCAUCUCCUAAAUUCCCAACAAUGAGAAAAGGAAAGACCAUCUGCUGAAAAUGUAACUGAAAUAGAAGGAAAAGGAGAAACUAAUAUUCACUGAUUUUUUUUCUUGUUUGUUUGUAUACACAUAUCUGUUUUGAUUGAACUUUUAUCUUGCCAUUUCUAAUCCAAACGCUUCGAUUGUUUUAGACUACUGUUUUGUUGUUGGUAUCACUAGAUAUGUUUUCGUAAU
Molecule: long non-coding RNA, 352 nt
Filed under: Brachypodium distachyon (stiff brome)
Lineage: Eukaryota; Viridiplantae; Streptophyta; Magnoliopsida; Poales; Poaceae
Description: long non-coding RNA (BDIS_LNC004008)
Source: RNAcentral